GCUGGGCGUGGUGGUGAGUGCCUGUGGUCCCAGCCACUCCGGAGGCUGAGGCUGGAGGAUCAUUUGAGCUCAGGAGUUCUGGGCUGCAGUGCGCUAUGCUGAUCGAGUGUCUGCAUUAAGUUCGGCAUCAGUAUGGUGACGUCUUGGGAGCAGGGGGCCACAAGGUUGCCUAAGGAGGGGUGAACUGGCCCAGGUUGGAAAUGGAGCAGGUCAGAACUCCCAUACUGAUCAAUUAAUGGGGAAAUGAAAUUGGUAUUUCCAGUGUACGUGAAUGAAUGUGAUAAAACUUUAU
This 292-nucleotide signal recognition particle RNA is filed under the name Erinaceus europaeus (western European hedgehog). RNAcentral's name for it is "Metazoan signal recognition particle RNA". It matches the Rfam family "Metazoan signal recognition particle RNA". From Rfam's summary of the family: The signal recognition particle (SRP) is a universally conserved ribonucleoprotein. Lineage: Eukaryota; Metazoa; Chordata; Mammalia; Eulipotyphla; Erinaceidae. The record is from Rfam by way of RNAcentral.